Molecule: ribosomal RNA, 374 nt
Filed under: uncultured organism
Description: partial 16S ribosomal RNA
Rfam family: Bacterial small subunit ribosomal RNA
Source: RNAcentral
GUAGGUGGCAAGCGUUGUCCGGAAUUAUUGGGCGUAAAGCGCGCGCAGGCGGUUCUUUAAGUCUGAUGUGAAAGCCCACGGCUCAACCGUGGAGGGUCAUUGGAAACUGGAGAACUUGAGUACAGAAGAGGAAAGCGGAAUUCCACGUGUAGCGGUGAAAUGCGUAGAGAUGUGGAGGAACACCAGUGGCGAAGGCGGCUUUCUGGUCUGUAACUGACGCUGAGGCGCGAAAGCGUGGGGAGCAAACAGGGAUUAGAUACCCUGGUAGUCCACGCCGUAAACGAUGAGUGCUAAGUGUUAGGGGGUUUUUCGCCCCCUUAGUGCUGCAGCUAACGCAUUAAGCACUCCGCCUGGGGAGUACGGCCGCAAGGCUG